Molecule: ribosomal RNA, 456 nt
Filed under: uncultured bacterium
Lineage: Bacteria
Description: bacterial SSU rRNA
Rfam family: Bacterial small subunit ribosomal RNA
Source: RNAcentral
AACGAACGCUGGCGGCAUGCCUAACACAUGCAAGUCGAACGGGAUCCUAGCUUGCUAGGUGAGAGUGGCGGACGGGUGAGUAACACGUGGGAAUCUGCCUUUUGGUUCGGGAUAACCGCGGGAAACUGCGGCUAAUACCGAAUGCCCUCGAGAGAGGAAAGAUUUAUCGCCAGAAGAGGAGCCCGCGUCCGAUUAGGUAGUUGGUGGGGUAAAGGCCUACCAAGCCGACGAUCGGUAGCUGGUCUGAGAGGAUGAUCAGCCACACUGGGACUGAGAUACGGCCCAGACUCCUACGGGAGGCAGCAGUGGGGAAUAUUGGACAAUGGGGGCAACCCUGAUCCAGCAAUGCCGCGUGAGUGAUGAAGGCCUUAGGGUUGUAAAGCUCUUUUGCCAGGAGAUGAUGACUGUACCUGGAGAAUAAGCCCCGGCUAACUUCGUGCCAGCAGCCGCGGUAAU